RNAcentral lists this ribosomal RNA (227 nucleotides) under uncultured bacterium. RNAcentral describes it as "partial 16S ribosomal RNA". It matches the Rfam family "Bacterial small subunit ribosomal RNA", at positions 29 to 269 of the family's 1533-position model. The record is from RNAcentral.
AACGAACGCUGGCGGCAUGCCUAACACAUGCAAGUCGAACGUGAUCCGGGACUUCGGUUUCGGUGAAAGUGGCGGACGGGUGAGUAACGCGUGGGAACCUGCCCAGUGGUAGGGAGUAACCGCGGGAAACGUGCGGCUAAUACCCUAUGUGCCCUGCGGGGCGAAAGAUUCAUCGCCAUUGGAGGGGCCCGCGUCGGACUAGGUAGUUGGUGGGUAACGGCCGUACC